Molecule: ribosomal RNA, 228 nt
Filed under: uncultured Pseudomonas sp.
Lineage: Bacteria; Pseudomonadati; Pseudomonadota; Gammaproteobacteria; Pseudomonadales; Pseudomonadaceae
Description: partial 16S ribosomal RNA
Rfam family: Bacterial small subunit ribosomal RNA
Source: RNAcentral
UGGUAGGUGGGGAACUAACGUUUACGGAAAAGGAACGCUAAUACCGCAUACGUCCUACGGGAGAAAGCAGGGGACCUUCGGGCCUUGCGCUAUCAGAUGAGCCUAGGUCGGAUUAGCUAGUUGGUGAGGUAAUGGCUCACCAAGGCGACGAUCCGUAACUGGUCUGAGAGGAUGAUCAGUCACACUGGAACUGAGACACGGUCCAGACUCCUACGGGAGGCAGCAGGC